CGAGCCACGAUCUUACCUGUAUUUAUAAAAAGUGUUACGCUGCAGAAAUCAAACGUUCACUCGCAUUAUUUUGAAUUUAUGUUGGGAUUGAGGCGUGUCAUAUUCAUUUACGAGUAUGUACACACAUCUUUUGCGCUCCUAACCAUUGCAAAUGUCGUACAUUACAUACACGGAUACAUUCAAACGGGUGCUCAUAUAUAUAAAAUUAAAUAAUUAAUGAUUAUAUAUACUGUCCUCGCCAUUGCCCAUUAGUAUUAUUUAGCAGGUGCACCGUGGGGCAGCACUUUUUCUCAAUAAAUUUACUAACAGCAUUAAACGUUACAUUGGGGCUGGUGAUAAACAAUUUGCUAAAACGCCCAUAACCAUGAAACCGUAUUGAUUGAGAUAUUGUCGAAGGAUUGCUUACGUAAAUUAUAUAUCUAUAUGUAUUGAGCGCAAUUAGAAACAACAUUGUAGGACAACAUUACGACAUGGUGUUUUGCAAAACCAAAAGUUUUGGCUGCAUUCAGUGCUGCCACUGUGUGUUCGACCGAGGGAGGCACUAUGGAAAAUUUUUAUCCAUCUGAUCAGUAUCAGAGGUCAUGUUGUACAACUACUGUUCUUCCUUGCACGGCGAAUGCAAAACUGAAAAGCGUAUAAAUAUUGUCAAGCAAACCCAUGCUAGCUGUUGUAUUUAUAUAUUGUAGCCUUCUUUUACAGCUAGCUAUUUAGGACACCUGAAAGGUCACAUUUAUCUCCAUCGCAUUUACAGUACCGGGAACCAACAUGGUAUCAUUAAAACUUCUCAUAGUUCUGACUGUUUGCAUCACAGGACUUUGUGCACACCCACUCGGAGAAACUGCGUAUGCUGCGGAUGUGUCCAGCUAUGCGGACCGUGGCUCCAGCUCUUCUAUGAGCGGAGGAAGUCAUAGCGACCCGCGUACGAACUGCCGCACAUUUCGCAAAGAGGGCAUGAACUGCGAAGAGUGCACUACGCUCGACGGAAACACAAGCAGGAAACACACAAAGUGCAAGUCAUAAUCUCGGCGGAGAAUUCCAUGCGUAUUACUACUGAACUACUUCUGUUCAGAAAUUGAUUGUCUGCGAAAUAAAUUUACCAUUCAACUGCUGACUGGGUGUUUUUGCAAAUAAAAACUUGUUUCUUAUGAUAGGUGGUUUUCUUGUGAAAGCUAUUGAUAAAGUUUCUGGCCUAGUUUUUUUCGGGUAAAGAAAUUUUUAAAAAAUUUCGCUGGAUCGGUAAGCUUAUUGCACAUUAUAAAAAGUACUGUACCUUCCUGCGAUUUCCUUGUAUAAGUUAUUGUUAGCUGCUAUGUACUAUAGUGCACCCUUGCCGAUUGCGCGAUUGCUGUUGCAAAGUAGAUCAUGAAAUUAAUUUACUCACAGGAUACAUCAGCUGUCAUACUUUAUCGGUGGACAUAAAUUCAUUUCGAAAGAGAA
This is a long non-coding RNA of Paramacrobiotus metropolitanus, 1437 nucleotides long. RefSeq lists it as uncharacterized. The transcript is spliced from 2 exons. The record is from RefSeq and is a predicted model, not a curated record. NCBI's taxonomy places the organism in Eukaryota, Metazoa, Tardigrada, Eutardigrada, Parachela, Macrobiotidae.